CACCAGUGAAGUCUUCUCAACCUGGGCAAUCAUGUGAGCUUGGAAGAUGAUGCAUCCCCAUCUCAUCUUUCAGGUGAAACCUCAGCCUUGGCCAUCACCUACAUCUGGAUUUCUGACCCAGAGAAACUGUUUGGAAUAGUUCACCAGUGAAGUCAUCUCAACCAGCACAGGGCCUUGACUCCUAACAACAAUCACACGAACUUGGAAGAGGAGCCUUCCCCAGCUGAACCUUCACUUGAGACCUCAUCCUUGGCCAUCAUCUACA
Molecule: long non-coding RNA, 265 nt
Filed under: Homo sapiens (human)
Lineage: Eukaryota; Metazoa; Chordata; Mammalia; Primates; Hominidae
Description: HSALNT0379848
Source: RNAcentral